Molecule: transfer RNA, 65 nt
Filed under: human gut metagenome
Also listed under: 1 other name
Rfam family: tRNA
About the family: Transfer RNA (tRNA) molecules are approximately 80 nucleotides in length. Their secondary structure includes four short double-helical elements and three loops (D, anti-codon, and T loops).
Source: RNAcentral
ACUGUGGCUCAGUCGGUAGAGCAGCUGAUUCGUAAUCAGCAGGUCGGCGGUUCGAAUCCGCCCAG